Molecule: ribosomal RNA, 1671 nt
Filed under: Triticum aestivum (bread wheat)
Lineage: Eukaryota; Viridiplantae; Streptophyta; Magnoliopsida; Poales; Poaceae
Description: partial small subunit ribosomal RNA
Source: RNAcentral
AUGCAUACCACUCCAUUGUGUUUAUAUAUAGGCACGGGGCCUGGUGGCACUUGCACAGAUGUAAACAAGGACAAGUUCCUGUCCAAAAUGGUACCGGUCAUAGUCCUAGUGCUCGUUGCAUCGCCACUCUUGUUGCUGGCCAAUGCUGUAUGGAUCACCGCCUCAUGCUACUACCUCACGCCGGCGAGGAUCCGGAGGAUCUUGUCCAGACAAGGCGUCCACGGCCCCACGCCACGCCUUCUCGUCGGUAACCUCCAUGACGUCUCCGCCCUGGUCGCCGAGUCCACCGCCGGGGACAUGGGCUCUCUCAGCCACAAUAUCGUCGGCCGCCUCCUGCCGCACUACGUUCUCUGGUCCAAGAAGUUCGGGAGGUUGUUCGUCUACUGGUACGGGAGCGAGCCACGGGUGUGCGUGACGGACGCCGUCAUGGUGCGGGAGCUGCUCUCGUCGAAGCAUGCGCACGUGACCGGCAAAUCGUGGCUGCAGCGGCAGGGCGCCAAGCACUUCAUCGGCCGUGGCCUGCUCAUGGCGAACGGUGCCACCUGGUCGCACCAGCGCCACGUCGUUGCCCCCGCCUUCAUGGCUGACAAGCUCAAGGGCAGGGUCGGGCACAUGGUGGAGUGCACGCGGCAGACGGUGCGAGCGCUGCAGGAGGCGGUGGCGCGGGGCGGAAACGAGGUGGAGAUGAGCGCGCACAUGACGAGGCUCGCCGGCGACGUCAUCGCGCGCACCGAGUUCGACACCAGCUACGAGACCGGCAAGCGCAUCUUCCACCUAAUUGAGGAGCUUCAGCGGCUCACCGCACGCUCCAGCCGCUACCUCUGGGUCCCCGGUAGCCAGUAUUUUCCGAGCAAGUACAGAAGAGAGAUGAAACGGCUGAACGGGGAGCUAGAGCAGGUGCUCAAGGAGUCGAUCCAGCGCAACCGCGAGAUCGCCGACGAGGGGCGGAGGCCGUCAGCAGAGGCGUGCAGCCGGGGGCUCCUCGGGAUGCUCCUGGCCGAGAUGGAGAAGAAGGAGAACGCGUUCGGCCACGGCGAGCUGGGGUACGAUGCCCAGACGAUCAUUGACGAGUGCAAGACCUUCUUCUUCGCCGGCCACGAGACAUCGGCGCUGCUCCUCACCUGGGCCAUCAUGCUGCUUGCCACGCACCCGGAGUGGCAGGACAAGGCUCGCGCCGAGGUUGCCCAAGUUUGUGGCCACGCUCCACCCGCCGCAGAUCACCUCCCGAAGCUCGCCGUCCUGCAGAUGGUGAUCAACGAGACGCUGCGCCUGUACCCGCCGGCGACGCUGCUGCCGAGGAUGGCCUUCGAGGACAUCACGCUCGGCGGCGAGCUGCGGGUGCCGAGGGGCGCGUCGGUGUGGAUUCCCUUGCUGGCCAUCCACCACGACGAGGCCGUGUGGGGCGCGGACGCGCACGAGUUCAGGCCGGACAGGUUCGCGCCCGGCCGCGCCCGGCCAGGAGCGGGUCGGUUCCUGCCCUUCGCGGCCGGGCCACGCAACUGCGUCGGGCAGGCGUACGCCAUGGUGGAGGCCAAGAUCGUGCUGGCCAUGCUGCUCGCGAGCUUCCGCUUCGGUAUCUCUGACGAGUACCGCCACGCGCCGGUGAACGUCCUCACCCUCCGGCCGCGCCACGGCGUCCCCGUGCGCCUGCUGCCGCUGCGAAGCCUGUAG